UGUCAGGCGGGAUUACCCGCUGAAUUUAAGCAUA
RNAcentral lists this ribosomal RNA (34 nucleotides) under Pectocarya setosa. RNAcentral's name for it is "partial 28S ribosomal RNA". Lineage: Eukaryota; Viridiplantae; Streptophyta; Magnoliopsida; Boraginales; Boraginaceae. The record is from RNAcentral.